UGGUACUUGUACAUACAUAUAUAAAGAUUAUUAAAGAAAAUAGUUUUUUUUUUGAUGAAAAUUUAAACUUUCAACUAGAUUUUACUAAAAGCAAGAAAUUAAACGUUGUGAAAUUCCAUACUUUGGUAUUCGUAAAUUUAAAAAACCCACAAAAAAAAAAAAAAGAGAAAGAAAGUCGAGUAAAUUUGACUUUUGCCUUAUAAAUGCUAGACUCCCCCCUCUUGUCAAAUGUGUUCGUUAUUUACUGAUAUUAGUUAACCACGUACGCGAUGAUAAUAUUAUAACCUAUUUUCACC
This 296-nucleotide long non-coding RNA is filed under the name Capsella rubella. RNAcentral's name for it is "long non-coding RNA (CRUB_LNC004769)". Lineage: Eukaryota; Viridiplantae; Streptophyta; Magnoliopsida; Brassicales; Brassicaceae. The record is from RNAcentral.